Molecule: long non-coding RNA, 1931 nt
Organism: Oncorhynchus tshawytscha (Chinook salmon)
Lineage: Eukaryota; Metazoa; Chordata; Actinopteri; Salmoniformes; Salmonidae
Source: Ensembl
ACAGGGAGAGGGAGGGGGAAUUAGAGAGAAAGAGAAGGACACAGGGAGAGGGGAGGAAUUAGAGAGAAAGAGAAGGACACAAAGAGAAAGUAGGAAUUAGAGAGAAAGAGAAAAGGACACAGGGAGAAAGGAGGAAUUAGAGAGAAAGAGAAGGACACAAAGAGAAAGGAGGAAUUAUAGAGAAAGAGAAGGACACAAAGAGAAAGGAGGAAUUAGAGAGAAAGAGAAGGACACAAAGAGAAAGGAGGAAUUAGAGAGAGAAAGAGAAGGACACAAAGAGAAAGUAGGAAUUAGGAGAGAGGGGGGAAUUAGAGAGAAAGAGAAGGACACAGAGAGAGAGGAGGAAUGAGAGAGAGAAAGAGAAGGACACAGAGAGAGAGGAGGAAUUAGAGAGAAAGAGAAGUACACAGAGAGAGGGGAGGAAUUAGAGAGAAAGAGAAGGACACAGAGAGAGAGAGGGGGGGAAUUAGAGAGAAAGAGAAGGACACAGAGAGAGAUGAGGAAUGAGAGAGAGAGAAGGACACAGAGAGAGAGGAGGAAUUAGAGAGAAAGAGAAGGACACAGAGAGCGGGGAGGAAUUAGAGAGAAAGAGAAGGACACAGAGAGAGAGGGGGGAAUUAGAGAGAAAGAGAAGGACACAGAGAGAGAUGAGGAAUGAGAGAGAGAGAACGACACAGAGAGAGAGGAGGAAUUAGAGAGAAAGAGAAGUACACAGAGAGAGGGGAGGAAUUAGAGAGAAAGAGAAGGACACAGAGAGAGGGGAGGAAUUAGAGAGAAAGAGAAGUACACAGAGAGAGGGGAGGAAUUAGAGAGAAAGAGAAGGACACAGAGAGAGGGGAGGAAUUAGAGAGAAAGAGAAGGACACAGAGAGAGGGGAGGAAUUAGAGAGAAAGAGAAGGACACAGAGAGAGAUGAGGAAUGAGAGAGAGAGAAGGACACAGAGAGAGAGGAGGAAUUAGAGAGAAAGAGAAGUACACAGAGAGAGGGGAGGAAUUAGAGAGAAAGAGAAGGACACAGAGAGAGGGGAGGAAUUAGAGAGAAAGAGAAGGACACAGAGAGAGGGGAGGAAUUAGAGAGAAAGAGAAGGACACAGAGAGAGGGGAGGAAUUAGAGAGAAAGAGAAGGACACAGAGAGAGGGGAGGAAUUAGAGAGAAAGAGAAGGACACAGAGAGAGGGGAGGAAUUAGAGAGAAAGAGAAGUACACAGAGAGAGGGGAGGAAUUAGAGAGAAAGAGAAGGACACAGAGAGAGGGGAGGAAUUAGAGAGAAAGAGAAGGACACAGAGAGAGGGGAGGAAUUAGAGAGAAAGAGAAGGACACAGAGAGAGGGGAGGAAUUAGAGAGAAAGAGAAGGACACAGAGAGAGGGGAGGAAUUAGAGAGAAAGAGAAGGACGCAGAGAGAGGGGAGGAAUUAGAGAGAAAGAGAAGGACACAGAGAGAGGGGGGAAUUAGAGAGAAAAGAAGUACACAGAGAGAGGGGAGGAAUUAGAGAGAAAGAGAAGAACACAGAGAGAGGGGAGGAAUUAGAGAGAAAGAGAAGGACACAGAGAGAGGGGAGGAAUUAGAGAGAAAGAGAAGGACACAGAGAGAGGGGAGGAAUUAGAGAGAAAGAGGAGGACACAGAGAGAGGGGAGGAAUUAGAGAGAAAGAGAAGGACACAGAGAGAGGGGAGGAAUGAGAGAAAGAGAAGGACACAAAGAGAAAGGAGGAAUUAGAGAGAAAGAGAAGGACACAAAGAGAAAGGAGGAAUUAGAGAGAGAAAGAGAAGGACACAGGGAGAGAGAGGAGGAAUUACAGAGAGAAAGAGAAGGACACAGGGAGAGGGAGGGGGAUUUAGAGAGAAAGAGAAGGACACAAAGAGAAAGGAGGAAUUAGAGAGAAAGAGAAGGACACAAAGAGAAAGGAGGAAUUAGAGAGAAAGAGAAGGACAC